AUUGAACGCUGGCGGCAGGCCUAACACAUGCAAGUCGAACGGUAACAGGAAGCAGCUUGCUGCUUCGCUGACGAGUGGCGGACGGGUGAGUAAUGUCUGGGAAACUGCCUGAUGGAGGGGGAUAACUACUGGAAACGGUAGCUAAUACCGCAUAAUGUCGCAAGACCAAAGAGGGGGACCUUCGGGCCUCUUGCCAUCGGAUGUGCCCAGAUGGGAUUAGCUUGUUGGUGGGGUUACGGCUCACCAAGGCGGCGAUCCCUAGCUGGUCUGAGAGGAUGACCGGCCACACUGGAACUGAGACACCGACAAGAGUACUACGGGAGGGCGCAGUGGGCAACAUUGGGCAACGGGGGGAAGCAUGAUGCAGCCAUGCGGCGUGUAUGAAGACGGCGUUCGGGUUGUAAAGUACUUUCAGCGGGGAGGAAGGGAGUAAAGUUAAUACCUUUGCUCAUUGACGUUACCCGCAGAAGAAGCACCGGCUAACUCCGUG
This 490-nucleotide ribosomal RNA is filed under the name uncultured bacterium. Its description in RNAcentral is "partial 16S ribosomal RNA". It matches the Rfam family "Bacterial small subunit ribosomal RNA", at positions 30 to 507 of the family's 1533-position model. The record is from RNAcentral.